This 1159-nucleotide ribosomal RNA is filed under the name uncultured bacterium. Its description in RNAcentral is "bacterial SSU rRNA". It matches the Rfam family "Bacterial small subunit ribosomal RNA", at positions 195 to 1361 of the family's 1533-position model. The record is from RNAcentral.
GGUUGUGGAAAGUUUUUUCGGUUGGGGAUGGGCUCGCGGCCUUAUCAGUUUGUUGGUGAGGUAAUGGCUCACCAAGACGACGACGGGUAGCCGGCCUGAGAGGGCGACCGGCCACACUGGGACUGAGACACGGCCCAGACUCCUACGGGAGGCAGCAGUGGGGAAUAUUGCACAAUGGGGGAAACCCUGAUGCAGCGACGCAGCGUGCGGGAUGACGGCCUUCGGGUUGUAAACCGCUUUCAGCAAGGAAGAAGCCUUUCGGGGUGACGGUACCUGCAGAAGAAGUACCGGCUAACUACGUGCCAGCAGCCGCGGUAAUACGUAGGGUACAAGCGUUGUCCGGAAUUAUUGGGCGUAAAGAGCUCGUAGGUGGUUGGUCACGUCUGCUGUGGAAACGCAACGCUUAACGUUGCGCGUGCAGUGGGUACGGGCUGACUAGAGUGCAGUAGGGGAGUCUGGAAUUCCUGGUGUAGCGGUGAAAUGCGCAGAUAUCAGGAGGAACACCGGUGGCGAAGGCGGGACUCUGGGCUGUAACUGACACUGAGGAGCGAAAGCAUGGGGAGCGAACAGGAUUAGAUACCCUGGUAGUCCAUGCCGUAAACGUUGGGCACUAGGUGUGGGGGACAUUCCACGUUCUCCGCGCCGUAGCUAACGCAUUAAGUGCCCCGCCUGGGGAGUACGGUCGCAAGGCUAAAACUCAAAGGAAUUGACGGGGGCCCGCACAAGCGGCGGAGCAUGCGGAUUAAUUCGAUGCAACGCGAAGAACCUUACCAAGGCUUGACAUACACCAGACCGUUCUGGAAACAGUUCCUCCCCUUUGGGGUUGGUGUACAGGUGGUGCAUGGUUGUCGUCAGCUCGUGUCGUGAGAUGUUGGGUUAAGUCCCGCAACGAGCGCAACCCUCGUUCUAUGUUGCCAGCACGUGAUGGUGGGAACUCAUAGGAGACUGCCGGGGUCAACUCGGAGGAAGGUGGGGAUGACGUCAAAUCAUCAUGCCCUUUAUGUCUUGGGCUUCACGCAUGCUACAAUGGCUGGUACAGAGAGAUGCGAGACCGCGAGGUUUUAGCGAAUCCCUUAAAGCCAGUCUCAGUUCGGAUCGUAGUCUGCAAUUCGACUACGUGAAGUCGGAGUCGCUAGUAAUCGCAGAUCAGCAACGNGCG